This 460-nucleotide ribosomal RNA is filed under the name uncultured bacterium. RNAcentral's name for it is "partial 16S ribosomal RNA". It matches the Rfam family "Bacterial small subunit ribosomal RNA", at positions 338 to 795 of the family's 1533-position model. The record is from RNAcentral.
CCUACGGGGGGCUGCAGUGAGGAAUAUUGGUCAAUGGCCGGAAGGCUGAACCAGCCAUGCCGCGUGAAGGUCAGUGCCCUAUGGGCGUUAAACUUCUUUUGUGCGGGAGCAAUAAUGGUCACGUGUGGCCAGACGAGAGUACCGUACGAAUAAGCAUCGGCUCACUCCGUGCCAGCAGCCGCGGUAAUACGGGGGAUGCAAGCGUUAUCCGGAUUUAUUGGGUUUAAAGGGUGCGUAGGCUGUGAGGUAAGUCAGCGGUGAAAUGCCCCCGCUCAACGGGGUGAAGUGCCAUUGAUACUGCCUGGCUGGAAUGCGGAUGCCGUGGGAGGAAUGUGUGGUGUAGCGGUGAAAUGCAUAGAUAUCACACAGAACACCGAUUGCGAAGGCAUCUCACGAAGCCGCGAUUGACGCUGAUGCACGAAAGCGUGGGUAUCAAACAGGAUUAGAUACCCUAGUAGUC